CCCCCACCAGCUGGAUAUUGCUCGUCCCACUUUUCCUGGAUUCAAGGAGCCCUUGAAUGCAGAGCAACUUGUUGUGGGUCAGGCAAGGUCAUUUCUGCAGACCAGGCAUUCAGACUGGUACUGAAUUUGAAGAACAAUCAACCUGACAGAGUGUAUCAAAAAACAAGCCAACUGUUUGAAUGAGUGUGGUAAUUUUAAUAGUACAUUCGAAAGCUCGACAUGGUAGCCCUGGAAGCAGCUAUUUUGCCAUUCUUGUUUGAUAUGGAGUUGAUUAUGUCAAUUAACAAGCUUAAAAUCCUCCCAGUUCUCCAGGCAAGAAGAGUAUUUGAAUGUUUAUGGCUCUUUUUCAUGCUGUGCCAAACGUGACUUGCUCCAUACAAAAAGCAACUAAUAGAAGAAACCAAAGUGCUGGCUAUAAUCAACAUGAGAUGUGAGGUGUUGAAUGGUGAAUAGCCCAUCUCUAGGGAAAUUUUGGUCUCUCAGGCCUCUUCGAGUUGACUCCACCCCGCAGAUGUUCCUCAGUGGUCCUGUGCCUAGGACAUUGCCCCAACGGCGUUGCUUAGCUCUGCAGUAGCAGUCAGGCUGAGACUUCAAGAUCCUGGCAGCUUCCUCUUCUUGUCUUUUGAAGACUUGAUCUUGGAACACUUUCUCUGGACACCCUAAGUUCUGAGCUGUCACAUUAUAGCACAAAGUACUCUGAGACUGCCAUGCUGGAAAGGCCAUACGUAGGUGCUUCAGCUGACAAUCUUUUCUGUGUCCGGCCUUCCAGUCAUCCUUUCCAAGGUGCCUGACAUGGGAGUGAAGUUAUCUUGGAUUCCCCAGUCUAGCCCAUCUGCCAGCUGAGUGCUAUUGAGUAACCUCCAUCAACACCAAGUGGAGCACAGGCACCGCUCUUCUGAGCCCGGCUCAAUUUCCCAACACACACGAUCAUGAGCUAUAAUAAAAUGGUGGUUGUUUGAGGCCACUAAGUUUGGGGUAAUUUUUUUAUGAAGUGAUAAACAACUGAAACAGAGGGUUUUGACUAGCAGAGACGGGAGCCCACUGGGCUCCCAGUGUUGUGGAUAGAGCUGUGAAGCUGUGAAGGUGCAGAGUCUAUUUCAAGCUUUGAGUUUUGUGGGAAAUCAGAGAACUUGCAGAAAAGUAUAAGGAAAAAAAUAACUGUUGUAUAUGUUUAAAAGCUAAAUAGAGAGUCUGAAUGACAUGUGAAGGUCAUAUAUUCUAUGGUCAAUAAGGUGUAACUAAAAUCCUAUGUAUUUUUUAACUUUUUGUUAUGAAAAAUUUUACAUAUACACAGACAGUAGAACAAUGGUACCCUUAUAUAUGUCACAAUUGGGGGGCAAUGGAUGUAUAAGUGGUUUCCUAGAGAAAGAAUUAUCAAUACUUCGUCAAUCUCUUUCCCUGAAAUAUGUUAAAGCAAAUCCCAGAUACCAUAUCACUUUGUUCAUAAAGACUACAGUGUGUAUCUUGAAAAGAUAAGGGCCUAACCACACCUAAAAAAAAUAAUAGUCUUAAUAUAAAACCCACUCCAUGAUGAAAUGUCUCCUAUCGUAUUUCUUCUUGUGAUUCAUAAUCUAAGCUAGGUCCUACACUGUGUAUAGUUGAUACGCCUCUUAGUUGAUGUGCUAUAUCUCAUGCCUUGCCUACUUCUCCACGCCAUUUAUUUGUCCUGUAGACUUUCCCUCAGUGUGGAUUAGGCUUAGGCUGUUUGCACUCACAUGGUGUGAUGUUAUUUAACAUGCUCCUCUGUCGCCACAUUUCCUGAAGAUUGGAAGUCAGAUUGGGAAGAUUGCUUUGGUCACUGGCAUUCGGAGGUAGGGAACAUCAUGUCAAGGCUAUGUUUAGGAAGGUCAAUCUGACAACUCUGUGGGGUGGGUUGGGAUCAGUCCAAAACAAGGGUCAAUAACUCCUGGCUCAUUAAGCACCUGGCACAAACCAUUUGUGCUCUACUACCAACCUAAAGGCUAGUGGUUCGAAUCCACCCAGCCGUGCUGUAGAAGAGAUCCCUAGUGAUCUGCUUCCAUAAAGAUUACAGCCAAGAAAAUCCCAUGGAGCACAGUUCUACUCUGACACAUGUGAAGCUGCCAUGAGUCAGAAUCCACUCACGGACCACGGACUUUUUGGUUUUGGCAGAGGCUGGUGGGAGGCGGAAGGAGCAGACAGAUGUCAGAGUGCUGUGUAGAUGGAGAGGUUGGCAGGGGAUUUUUGAUAAUGGUAAAAAUUCCUAAUAUUUGUUACGUGCUUACUAUAUUCUAGGCUCUGUGCAUGUUAUCUAUUAACCCAAUAUAAAAACGAACAAACACACAAACCUGUUGCCAUUGAGUUGAUUCUGACUCAUAGCGGCCCUAUAGGGCAGAGUAGAACCGCCCAUAAGGUUUCCAAGGAGCAGCUGGUGGAUUUGAACUGCUAACCUUUUGGUUAGCAGCUGAUCUCUUAACCACUGCACCACCAGGGCUCCAUUAACCCAGUAUACUAGAUAGCAUUUCCCCCAUUUUACAGACCCAGGCCUAGAAAGGACACUGAUUUACCCGCACAGUUAGUUCGUAACACAACAGGAAGUAGAACCCAAAGCCUGUGUUCUUAGCUACUGCAC
RNA transcript from Loxodonta africana (African savanna elephant), 2590 nucleotides. It is a transcript of the gene named ECRG4 augurin precursor, with no coding region annotated. The record is from RefSeq and is a predicted model, not a curated record. NCBI's taxonomy places the organism in Eukaryota, Metazoa, Chordata, Mammalia, Proboscidea, Elephantidae. The transcript has 6 exons.